AGCAGCCGCGGUAAUUCCAGCUCCAAUAGCGUAUAUUAAAGUUGUUGCAGUUAAAAAGCUCGUAGUUGAAUUUUGGGUCUGGCUGGGCGGUCCGCCCUCCGGGUGAGCACUGUUCCGACGCCGGGCCUAUCCUUCUGGUGAGUCGGCAUGUCCUUUGUUGGGUGUGUCGGGGAACCAGGACCAUUACCUUGAAAAAAUUAGAGUGUUCAAAGCAGGCGUAUGCUCGGAUACAUUAGCAUGGAAUAAUGAAAUAGGACGCGUGGUGCUAUUUUGUUGGUUUCUAGAACCGCCGUAAUGAUUAAUAGGGAUAGUUGGGGGCAUUAGUAUUCAAUUGUCAGAGGUGAAAUUCUUGGAUUUUAUUGAAGACUAACUUCUGCGAAAGCAUUUGCCAAGGAUGUUUUCAUUAAUCAAGAACGAAAGUUAGGGGAUCGAAGACGAUCAGAUACCGUCGUAGUCUUAACCAUAAACUAU
RNAcentral lists this ribosomal RNA (471 nucleotides) under uncultured Ambispora. Its description in RNAcentral is "SSU rRNA". It matches the Rfam family "Eukaryotic small subunit ribosomal RNA", at positions 569 to 1040 of the family's 1831-position model. The record is from RNAcentral. Lineage: Eukaryota; Fungi; Glomeromycota; Glomeromycetes; Archaeosporales; Ambisporaceae.